CUAACAUCCAAAUUAUUCUCGGCUUCCUGAAACACUCCCUAUCAUAAAGAGUGAUUCAAGAGUGUGCGUUUGUGAAAUACGUCUUGCCCUUUACUUAAGAGGCAGUGACUUGGAGAAGCAGAUAUUUAGAGGAAGUCCAUUUGCUUGACAAAAACAUCUAUUACUUUUAUCACCAUUGGAGACCGAAAAAGAAUCAAUUACAAUACUUCACUUGGGAAUGACUAAUUGAAUUGUGAAACAUACUGAUGUUCUGAAGUCACCGAGGAAAAGCACAUGGUUCAUCACUGAAGGAGCUCCAGGAAGGAAG
RNAcentral lists this long non-coding RNA (307 nucleotides) under Gallus gallus (chicken). RNAcentral describes it as "lncRNA (ENSGALG00010004173.1)". The record is from RNAcentral. Lineage: Eukaryota; Metazoa; Chordata; Aves; Galliformes; Phasianidae.